Molecule: ribosomal RNA, 589 nt
Filed under: uncultured bacterium
Lineage: Bacteria
Description: partial 16S ribosomal RNA
Rfam family: Bacterial small subunit ribosomal RNA
Source: RNAcentral
UGGGGAAUUUUGGACAAUGGGCGCAAGCCUGAUCCAGCCAUGCCGCGUGCGGGAAGAAGGCCUUCGGGUUGUAAACCGCUUUUGUCAGGGAAGAAAUCUUCUGAGUUAAUACCUCGGGAGGAUGACGGUACCUGAAGAAUAAGCACCGGCUAACUACGUGCCAGCAGCCGCGGUAAUACGUAGGGUGCAAGCGUUAAUCGGAAUUACUGGGCGUAAAGCGUACGCAGGCGGUUUUGUAAGACAGAGGUGAAAUCCCCGGGCUCAACCUGGGAACUGCCUUUGUGACUGCAAGGCUUGAGUGCGGCAGAGGGGGAUGGAAUUCCGCGUGUAGCAGUGAAAUGCGUAGAUAUGCGGAGGAACACCGAUGGCGAAGGCAAUCCCCCUGGGCCUGCACUGACGCUCAUGCACGAAAGCGUGGGGAGCAAACAGGAUUAGAUAGCCCUGGUAGUCCACGCCCUAAAACGAUGUCAACUGGUUGUUGGGAAGGUUCCUUCUCAGUAACGUAGCUAACGCGUGAAGUUGACCGCCUGGGGAGCAACGGCCGCAAGGUUGAAAACUCAAAUGAAUUGACGGGGUCAUAGCUGUUUCC